This 239-nucleotide unclassified non-coding RNA is filed under the name Hevea brasiliensis (rubber tree). The record is from RNAcentral. Lineage: Eukaryota; Viridiplantae; Streptophyta; Magnoliopsida; Malpighiales; Euphorbiaceae.
UUCCCCAUUGUUUGGUCCAUUAAGAACCUGCGAGAGGCCGCUAGGACAGACGGGAAGGCUGCUGUGAAUUUGAUGAAAUUGACUCUGUUUAGGCAAUAUUACAUUGUGGUAAUUUGCUAUAUCUACUUCACCCGCGUGGUUGUAUACGCAUUGGAGACUAUUACUUCAUAUAAGUAUCUAUGGACCAGCGUGGUGGCUGGAGAGCUAGCCACAUUGGCGUUUUAUGUGUUUACUGGAUA